RNAcentral lists this ribosomal RNA (253 nucleotides) under uncultured bacterium. Its description in RNAcentral is "partial 16S ribosomal RNA". It matches the Rfam family "Bacterial small subunit ribosomal RNA", at positions 524 to 776 of the family's 1533-position model. The record is from RNAcentral.
UACAGAGGUCCCAAGCGUUGUUCGGAUUCACUGGGCGUAAAGGGUGCGUAGGCGGUCGGGUAAGUCUGAUGUGAAAUCUCACAGCUUAACUGUGAAACUGCAUUGGAUACUAUCCGGCUCGAGGAAUGGAGGGGAGACUGGAAUACUUGGUGUAGCAGUGAAAUGCGUAGAUAUCGGGAGGAACACCUGUGGCGAAAGCGGCUCACUGGACCACAACUGACGCUGAGGCGCGAAAGCUAGGGGAGCAAACAGG